RNAcentral lists this transfer RNA (72 nucleotides) under Bos taurus (domestic cattle). It matches the Rfam family "tRNA". From Rfam's summary of the family: Transfer RNA (tRNA) molecules are approximately 80 nucleotides in length. Their secondary structure includes four short double-helical elements and three loops (D, anti-codon, and T loops). RNAcentral also lists the same sequence under 4 other names. The record is from Rfam by way of RNAcentral. Lineage: Eukaryota; Metazoa; Chordata; Mammalia; Artiodactyla; Bovidae.
UCCCUGGUGGCUCAGAGGGUAAAGCAUCUGCCUGCAAUGCGGGAGACCCAGGUUCGAUCCCUGAGUUGGGAA